This 497-nucleotide ribosomal RNA is filed under the name uncultured bacterium. Its description in RNAcentral is "partial 16S ribosomal RNA". It matches the Rfam family "Bacterial small subunit ribosomal RNA", at positions 28 to 507 of the family's 1533-position model. The record is from RNAcentral.
GAUGAACGCUGGCGGCGUGCCUAAUACAUGCAAGUCGAGCGAACAGACGAGGAGCUUGCUCCUCUGACGUUAGCGGCGGACGGGUGAGUAACACGUGGAUAACCUACCUAUAAGACUGGGAUAACUUCGGGAAACCGGAGCUAAUACCGGAUAAUAUAUUGAACCGCAUGGUUCAAUAGUGAAAGACGGUUUUGCUGUCACUUAUAGAUGGAUCCGCGCCGCAUUAGCUAGUUGGUAAGGUAACUGCUUACCAAGGCAACGAUGCGUAGCCGACCUGAGAGGGUGAUCGGCCACACUGGAACUGAGCCACGGUCCAGACUCCUACGGGAGGCAGCAGUAGGGAAUCUUCCGCAAUGGGCGAAAGCCUGACGGAGCAACGCCGCGUGAGUGAUGAAGGUCUUCGGAUCGUAAAACUCUGUUAUUAGGGAAGAACAAAUGUGUAAGUAACUAUGCACGUCUUGACGGUACCUAAUCAGAAAGCCACGGCUAACUACGUG